GGCGCGCGUGCGGAAGUGGCGAUGGCGGCGGUGGUUGGCGUCAGGCUGUGGACGAAGAGGCGGUCUCGGUGUUGACAACUUCAGAUGAUCCACGUGGUACGAGUUCCACACGACACUGUGGUGAAGAGGAUUUUGGAAAUCUCCGUAUUUGGGGCCACCCCUCCCGCCGCGGCUGUGGAUAUUCCCUGUGGGCGAUGCUGACCUUGGUUUCAGGCAGCCCCAUUCUCAAGCUGCUGCGAACUCGGAGCCGAGGCUUCGGAAGGGCUCCCAGACGCCUGCAGUGACACACUUGUUGGAGCUCGGCAGCAGCCUUCUCCCGGGUAGGCGCCUGGGGGCUGAAUCUCUGGUCCACCCUGUGUCACCUGCACCUGGUACACCCCAGGGCGGGCCCCUGGGUGCCGGAACAGACAACAGCCAGGUGACGCUGUGGCCUAGGCCCAGUCUAGUUACCCGGAGCCCUGGGAGGGGUGGGGAGGCAGACCCUGCCCAGGGCCAGUGCCUGGAGCAUGGUUGCUGUGGAUGUGGCAGAGGCUUGCCUGAGAUGUGGGCUAGGCCCUUCCAGUGGGUCAGGUCUGGGGUGGUGCCCAGGGUUGUGCACCCUCAGGCUGCUGCCCAGUGGACCAGUGGCCUGUCAGCCCCGACUGGCGUUCACGGGGUCCCAGCAUGGGUGUGUGGGCGGCUGACCCAGGCUCUUAUGAUGCUGUGGCUGUUGUUCGUCCAUUGUCCCAUUAAUGCCAAGCUGGUAGGACCCACCUGGCUGGCUGUGUUCUGCAUGACCCGAGGGCCCACUGGGGUUCUGGAAGAGGAUGGAGACCAUCCCUGCUUGGCUGUGAUUCCGUCCUCUUGACCUGUGGUGGCCGUGACCUGAGGUGGGGCCUCUGGGAGCAGGCGCCUCCUCUUUCCUCCCCCAUGGCGGGCACCUGCCUGUCCACCUCUGAAUCUGGGUGUCAGCAUCAAGGUAGGAGUGCAGGGCCGGCUUGUUAACUGGGAUUCUGUCCAGCCCAGCCAGUGUCAGCGUGGCCCAGGGGCCACCACGAGCCCCUGGUCCCGCUUCCCUCCUGGUUCCGGGCUCCAGCUACGGGCCACGUCGAUCUUCACACGACUCUGGACUGCUGGGGUCACUGUCCCUGCUUCCCCACCGAGAGAAGUAGCCGAGACCCCGACCAGGCCUGCGCUCCCUUGGCACUCAGCAUCUCCCAGCCACGACAGCACCGGUGGCUCAGAAAUAAGGUCCCGGGACAGAUGUGCCCGGCCAGACAGCGAGCUCUCCUGCCAGACCAGAGCCUCUUCUCUCCCCAGCACCCAGCCGGAAGCAGGGCUGGGAACAGGCACCGUGCGUGUCCGUGGAGGAUGAGAGCGCGACUUUGGGACCGGCCCUACCCCACAGCCUCACGGAGGGAACGGGUCCAGGCGGGGUGCUUUCUGUGAAGCCUAUGGCUGUUAGCAGAGCGCCCUGAAACCCCACCACUAGGCCGGACGCGGUGGCUCAGGCCUGUCUGUAAUCCCAGCACUUUGGGCGACCGAGGCAGUGGAUGACCUGAGGUCAGGAGGCUGAGGCAGGAUCAUGAGGUCAGGAGUUUGAGACCAGCCUGACCAACAUGGUGAAACCCCGUCUCUACUAAAAGUACAAAAAUUAGCCGGCAUGGUGGCGGGCGCCUGUGAUCCCAGCUACUCGGGAGGCUUAUGCAGGAGAAUCGCUUGAACUCAGGGGGUGGAGGUUGCAGUGAGCCGAGAUUGCACCACUGCACUCCAGCCUGGGUGACAGAGCAAGACUCCAUCUUAAAAAACAAAAAACAAAAAAAA
Long non-coding RNA from Macaca fascicularis (crab-eating macaque), 1803 nucleotides. The record is from Ensembl. NCBI's taxonomy places the organism in Eukaryota, Metazoa, Chordata, Mammalia, Primates, Cercopithecidae.